AGGCUCUGCACGCGGCCCCCUAAACGCCGCCGCCCCCGCCAUCUUGAAUUGAGUGUCGUGUGCAGCUUGUGCACACGGCCCCCCACGCUGAGGUCCGCGCGCCGCCAUGUUGCACCAGCACCUGUGCUCUGAAGGGACGCGUGUGAGGCCUCUGCACGUGGGAGCCUGUGAGCCAGUGACACCAGACGAAGCACGAAGGAAAAGAACAAGGAAAGAGAUCUCCACGUUAACAGAUUCUUAACUGGCUGGUGUGAAGAGUCAUUCCAAGCCUCUGCAGGACCAAAUUGACAGCUCUUUAAAGGCGUCUGACGAAAAGCAGCAUUAAUUAAGUCAUUGCCGGACUGUAAUUGUGUUAAGAAGUAAAAAUCUAAUAUGAGAAAAGUUUUGACUGUCAGAUCUGCAAGAGGAAUGCUGCUCUCAUCUAAUGGUUAGAGACCAGAGAUUCUGCUAAACAUCCUACAGUGCACAGGACAGCCCCACAACCAAGAACUUCUCUGGCCCCACAUGUGGAUGGUGCCAAGUUGACAAACCUGGUGCACAUCAAGCUGAAGAGGUGCUGCUUUGCACUAACAUCAUACACAUGAUUCCAUCCACCUGUCCUCCUCCUAUUUAUUUGAAUCAGCAAAAUUCCUUCCUGCAUGUUCUUUUUUGGGAGGCUGGAAUACUGUUUCUGUCUGCCUCAUCCUGAUCUGUCCCACAGAACCCUUUGAGUGAUAGCCUAAUGUUACCUCCUCCAGGAAGCCCUCCCUGAUAUCUUUUUUCUCCCCAAAACUGGAUCAUUUUCUUUUGUUACAAAUUAUCACUGCACUAUUUUCUUCUCCUC
RNAcentral lists this long non-coding RNA (823 nucleotides) under Sus scrofa (pig). The record is from RNAcentral. Lineage: Eukaryota; Metazoa; Chordata; Mammalia; Artiodactyla; Suidae.